ACUCCUACGGGGCGCAGCAGUGGGGGAUAUUGCACAAUGGGGGAAACCCUGAUGCAGCGACGCCGCGUGAGUGAAGAAGUAUUUCGGUACGUAAAGCUCUAUCAGCAGGGAAGAAUAAUGACGGUACCUGACUAAGAAGCCCCGGCUAACUACGUGCCAGCAGCCGCGGUAAUACGUAGGGGGCAAGCGUUAUCCGGAUUUACUGGGUGUAAAGGGAGCGUAGACGGCUGUGCAAGUCUGAAGUGAAAUGCCGGGGCCCAACCCCGGAACUGCUUUGGAAACUGUAAAGCUAGAGUGCGGGAGGG
RNAcentral lists this ribosomal RNA (305 nucleotides) under uncultured bacterium. Its description in RNAcentral is "bacterial SSU rRNA". It matches the Rfam family "Bacterial small subunit ribosomal RNA", at positions 335 to 656 of the family's 1533-position model. The record is from RNAcentral.